Molecule: ribosomal RNA, 381 nt
Filed under: uncultured bacterium
Lineage: Bacteria
Description: bacterial SSU rRNA
Rfam family: Bacterial small subunit ribosomal RNA
Source: RNAcentral
UACGUAGGGUGCGAGCGUUGUCCGGAAUUACUGGGCGUAAAGAGCUCGUAGGUGGUUUGUCGCGUUGUCCGUGAAAUUCCCUGGCUUAACUGGGGGCGUGCGGGCGAUACGGGGCAGACUGGAGUACUGCAGGGGAGACUGGAAUUCCUGGUGUAGCGGUGGAAUGCGCAGAUAUCAGGAGGAACACCGGUGGCGAAGGCGGGUCUCUGGGCAGUAACUGACGCUGAGGAGCGAAAGCGUGGGGAGCGAACAGGAUUAGAUACCCUGGUAGUCCACGCCGUAAACGGUGGGUACUAGGUGUGGGUUUCCUUCCUUGGGAUCCGUGCCGUAGCUAACGCAUUAAGUACCCCGCCUGGGGAGUACGGCCGCAAGGCUGAAACU